GACGAACGCUGGCGGCGUGCUUAACACGUGCAAGUCGAACGGAAAGGCCCUGCUUUUGUGGGGUGCUCGAGUGGCGAACGGGUGAGUAACACGUGAGUAACCUGCCCUUGACUUUGGGAUAACUUCAGGAAACUGGGGCUAAUACCGGAUAGGAGCUCCUGCUGCAUGGUGGGGGUUGGAAAGUUUCGGCGGUUGGGGAUGGACUCGCGGCUUAUCAGCUUGUUGGUGGGGUAGUGGCUUACCAAGGCUUUGACGGGUAGCCGGCCUGAGAGGGUGACCGGCCACAUUGGGACUGAGAUACGGCCCAGACUCCUACGGGAGGCAGCAGUGGGGAAUAUUGCACAAUGGGCGGAAGCCUGAUGCAGCAACGCCGCGUGCGGGAUGACGGCCUUCCGGUUGUAAACCGCUUUCGCCUGUGACGAAGCGUGAGUGACGGUAAUGGGUAAAGAAGCACCGGCUAACUACGUG
RNAcentral lists this ribosomal RNA (468 nucleotides) under uncultured bacterium. RNAcentral's name for it is "partial 16S ribosomal RNA". It matches the Rfam family "Bacterial small subunit ribosomal RNA", at positions 28 to 507 of the family's 1533-position model. The record is from RNAcentral.